RNAcentral lists this ribosomal RNA (135 nucleotides) under uncultured Phyllobacteriaceae bacterium. RNAcentral describes it as "partial 16S ribosomal RNA". It matches the Rfam family "Bacterial small subunit ribosomal RNA", at positions 355 to 507 of the family's 1533-position model. The record is from RNAcentral. Lineage: Bacteria; Pseudomonadati; Pseudomonadota; Alphaproteobacteria; Hyphomicrobiales; Phyllobacteriaceae.
UGGGGAAUAUUGGACAAUGGGCGCAAGCCUGAUCCAGCCAUGCCGCGUGAGUGAUGAAGGCCCUAGGGUUGUAAAGCUCUUUCAACGGUGAAGAUAAUGACGGUAACCGUAGAAGAAGCCCCGGCUAACUUCGUG